Molecule: ribosomal RNA, 429 nt
Filed under: Bacteroidota bacterium
Lineage: Bacteria; Pseudomonadati; Bacteroidota
Description: Bacteroidetes bacterium partial 16S ribosomal RNA
Rfam family: Bacterial small subunit ribosomal RNA
Source: RNAcentral
UAGGGAAUCUUCCGCAAUGGACGCAAGUCUGACGGAGCAACGCCGCGUGAGUGAAGAAGGAUUUCGGUUAGUAAAACUCUGUUGUUAGAGAAGAACAGCGCAUAGAGUAACUGUUAUGCGUGUGACGGUAUCUAACGAGAAAGCCACGGCUAACUACGUGCCAGCAGCCGCGGUAAUACGUAGGUGGCAAGCGUUGUCCGGAUUUAUUGGGCGUAAAGCGAGCGCAGGCGGUCAAUUAAGUCUGAUGUGAAAGCCCCCGGCUCAACCGGGGGGGGUCAUUGGUAACUGAUUGACUUGAGUGCAGAAGAGGAGAGUGGAAUUCCAUGUGUAGCGGUGAAAUGCGUAGAUAUAUGGAGGAACACCGGUGGCGAAAGCGGCUCUCUGGUCUGUAACUGACGCUGAGGCUCGAAAGCGUGGGGAGCAAACAGG